UAGGGAAUCUUCGGCAAUGGGGGGAACCCUGACCGAGCAACGCCGCGUGAGUGAAGAAGGUUUUCGGAUCGUAAAGCUCUGUUGUAAGAGAAGAACGAGUGUGAGAGUGGAAAGUUCACACUGUGACGGUAUCUUACCAGAAAGGGACGGCUAACUACGUGCCAGCAGCCGCGGUAAUACGUAGGUCCCGAGCGUUAUCCGGAUUUAUUGGGCGUAAAGCGAGCGCAGGCGGUUAGAUAAGUCUGAAGUUAAAGGCUGUGGCUUAACCAUAGUACGCAUUUGAAACUGUUUAACUUGAGUGCAGAAGGGGAGAGUGGAAUUCCAUGUGUAGCGGUGAAAUGCGUAGAUAUAUGGAGGAACACCGGUGGCGAAAGCGGCUCUCUGGUCUGUAACUGACGCUGAGGCUCGAAAGCGUGGGGAGCAAACAGG
Molecule: ribosomal RNA, 429 nt
Filed under: Fusobacteriota bacterium
Lineage: Bacteria; Fusobacteriati; Fusobacteriota
Description: Fusobacteria bacterium partial 16S ribosomal RNA
Rfam family: Bacterial small subunit ribosomal RNA
Source: RNAcentral